GGAGGGUGCAAGCGUUAAUCGGAAUUACUGGGCGUAAAGCGCACGCAGGCGGUUUGUUAAGUCAGAUGUGAAAUCCCCGGGCUCAACCUGGGAACUGCAUCUGAUACUGGCAAGCUUGAGUCUCGUAGAGGGGGGUAGAAUUCCAGGUGUAGCGGUGAAAUGCGCAGAUAUCAGGAGGAACACCGAUGGCGAAGGCAGGUCUCUGGGCAGUAACUGACGCUGAGGAGCGAAAGCAUGGGGAGCGAACAGGAUUAGAUACCCUGGUAGUCCAUGCCGUAAACGGUGGGCGCUAGGUGUAGGGGACUUCCACGUCUUCUGUGCCGUAGCUAACGCAUUAAGCGCCCCGCCUGGGGAGUACGGCCGCAAGAUUAAAACUCA
This 378-nucleotide ribosomal RNA is filed under the name uncultured bacterium. RNAcentral describes it as "bacterial SSU rRNA". It matches the Rfam family "Bacterial small subunit ribosomal RNA", at positions 527 to 903 of the family's 1533-position model. The record is from RNAcentral.